Molecule: ribosomal RNA, 1439 nt
Filed under: Klebsiella quasipneumoniae
Lineage: Bacteria; Pseudomonadati; Pseudomonadota; Gammaproteobacteria; Enterobacterales; Enterobacteriaceae
Description: bacterial SSU rRNA
Source: RNAcentral
GCACAGAGAGCUUGCUCUCGGGUGACGAGCGGCGGACGGGUGAGUAAUGUCUGGGAAACUGCCUGAUGGAGGGGGAUAACUACUGGAAACGGUAGCUAAUACCGCAUAAUGUCGCAAGACCAAAGUGGGGGACCUUCGGGCCUCAUGCCAUCAGAUGUGCCCAGAUGGGAUUAGCUAGUAGGUGGGGUAACGGCUCACCUAGGCGACGAUCCCUAGCUGGUCUGAGAGGAUGACCAGCCACACUGGAACUGAGACACGGUCCAGACUCCUACGGGAGGCAGCAGUGGGGAAUAUUGCACAAUGGGCGCAAGCCUGAUGCAGCCAUGCCGCGUGUGUGAAGAAGGCCUUCGGGUUGUAAAGCACUUUCAGCGGGGAGGAAGGCGUUAAGGUUAAUAACCUUGGCGAUUGACGUUACCCGCAGAAGAAGCACCGGCUAACUCCGUGCCAGCAGCCGCGGUAAUACGGAGGGUGCAAGCGUUAAUCGGAAUUACUGGGCGUAAAGCGCACGCAGGCGGUCUGUCAAGUCGGAUGUGAAAUCCCCGGGCUCAACCUGGGAACUGCAUUCGAAACUGGCAGGCUAGAGUCUUGUAGAGGGGGGUAGAAUUCCAGGUGUAGCGGUGAAAUGCGUAGAGAUCUGGAGGAAUACCGGUGGCGAAGGCGGCCCCCUGGACAAAGACUGACGCUCAGGUGCGAAAGCGUGGGGAGCAAACAGGAUUAGAUACCCUGGUAGUCCACGCCGUAAACGAUGUCGAUUUGGAGGUUGUGCCCUUGAGGCGUGGCUUCCGGAGCUAACGCGUUAAAUCGACCGCCUGGGGAGUACGGCCGCAAGGUUAAAACUCAAAUGAAUUGACGGGGGCCCGCACAAGCGGUGGAGCAUGUGGUUUAAUUCGAUGCAACGCGAAGAACCUUACCUGGUCUUGACAUCCACAGAACUUUCCAGAGAUGCWUUGGUGCCUUCGGGAACUGUGAGACAGGUGCUGCAUGGCUGUCGUCAGCUCGUGUUGUGAAAUGUUGGGUUAAGUCCCGCAACGAGCGCAACCCUUAUCCUUUGUUGCCAGCGGUUMGGCCGGGAACUCAAAGGAGACUGCCAGUGAUAAACUGGAGGAAGGUGGGGAUGACGUCAAGUCAUCAUGGCCCUUACGACCAGGGCUACACACGUGCUACAAUGGCAUAUACAAAGAGAAGCGACCUCGCGAGAGCAAGCGGACCUCAUAAAGUAUGUCGUAGUCCGGAUUGGAGUCUGCAACUCGACUCCAUGAAGUCGGAAUCGCUAGUAAUCGUAGAUCAGAAUGCUACGGUGAAUACGUUCCCGGGCCUUGUACACACCGCCCGUCACACCAUGGGAGUGGGUUGCAAAAGAAGUAGGUAGCUUAACCUUCGGGAGGGCGCUUACCACUUUGUGAUUCAUGACUGGGGUGAAGUCGUAACAAGGUAACCGU